UUUCCUCAUUUUUUUCAUUUCCUUAUUCGGUUUCUAUUUCCUUUUUUGAUUUUCAUUUCCUUAUUUGUUUUCUAUUUCCUUUUUCGAUUUUCAUUUCCUUAUUUGGUUUCUAUUUCCUUUUUUGAUUUUCAUUUCCAUAUUCGGUUUCUUUUUCCUUAUUCGGUUUCUAUUUCCUUUUUCGAUUUUCAUUUCCUUAUUCGUUUUCUAUUUCCUUUUUCGAUUUUCAUUUUCUUAUUUGGUUUCUAUUUCCUUUUUCAAUUUUCAUUUCCUUAUUCGGUUUCUUUUUCCUUAUUCGGUUUCUAUUUCCUUAUUCAAUUUUCAUUUCCUUAUUCGGUUUCUUUUUCCUUAUUCGAUUUUCCUUUCCUUAUUCGGUUUCUUUUUCCUUUUUCAAUUUUCAUUUCCUUAUUCAGUUUCUAUUUCCUUAUUCGAUUUUCAUUUCCUUAUUCGGUUUCUUUUUUCCUUUUUCGAUAAUCAA
RNAcentral lists this long non-coding RNA (475 nucleotides) under Mytilus galloprovincialis (Mediterranean mussel). Lineage: Eukaryota; Metazoa; Mollusca; Bivalvia; Mytilida; Mytilidae. The record is from RNAcentral.